This 1146-nucleotide long non-coding RNA is filed under the name Chrysolophus pictus (golden pheasant). RNAcentral's name for it is "lncRNA (ENSCPIG00010012750.1)". The record is from RNAcentral. Lineage: Eukaryota; Metazoa; Chordata; Aves; Galliformes; Phasianidae.
GAGGGAUCCUCUUUAUAGGGUCAGAUAGGGAUUGGGAUUUGGGAUUUUUGGGUCCAUUUUGGGGCAAAUUUGGGUCAUUUUGGGCAAAUUUUGGUGCUUUGGAGAUCGCAUCCAUUCUACUGUGAACUCCAAUGUCAUUUUGGGCCGAAUUCCUCCAUUUUUGCACCGAUCCCAAAGCAGAUUUCAGAGAUUCUCUUUAUAGGGUUAGAUAGGGAUUGGGAUUUGGGAUUUUUGGGUCCAUUUUGGGGCAAUUUGGGUCAUUUUGGGUAAAUUUGGGUGGUUUGGAGAUCGCAUCCAUUCUACUGUGAACCCCGAUGUCAUUUUGGGGUGAAUUCCACCAUUUUUGGGGUCAUUAUGAAGCAGAUUUGAGGGAUCCUCUUUAUAGGGCUAGAUAGGGAUUGGGAUUUGGGAUUUUUGGAUCCAUUUUGGGGCAAAUUUGGGUUGUUUUGGGUAAAUUUGGGUGGUUUGGAGAUCGCAUCCAUUCCACUGUGAACCCCAAUGUCAUUUUGGGUUGAAUUCUUCCAUUUUUGGGGUCAUUCCGAAGCAGAUUAGAGGGAUCCUCUUUAUAGGGUCAGAUAGGGAUUGGGAUUUGGGAUUUUUGUGGCCAUUUUGGGGCAAAUUUGGAUCAUUUGGGGUAAAUUUGGGUGGUUUGGAGAUCGCAUCCAUUCUACUGUGAACUCCAAUGUCAUUUUGAGCUGAAUUCCUCCAUUUUUGCACCAAUCCCAAUUCCGAUUUUAGAACCGUUUUUGGGGUCAUUCCGAAGCAGAUUAGAGAGAUCCUCUUUAUAGGGUCAGAUAGGGAUUGGGAUUUGGGAUUUUUGGGUCCAUUUUGGGGCAAAUUUGGGUCAUUUUGGGUAAAUUUGGGUGGUUUGGAGAUCGCAUCCAUUCUACUAUGAACUCCAAUGUCAUUUUGGGCCGAAUUCCUCCAUUUUUGCGCCGAUCCCAAAGCAGAUUUCAGAGAUCCUCUUUAUAGGGUUAGAUAGGGAUUGGGAUUUGGGAUUUUUGGGUCCAUUUUGGGGCAAAUUUGGGUCAUUUUGGAUAAAUUUGGGUGCUUUGGAGAUCGCAUCCAUUCUACUAUGAACUCCAAUGUCAUUUUGGGUUGAAUUCUUCCAUUUUUGCAUCAAUCCCAAAGCCGAUUUGAGGGCUC